GGGUUGUGAGGUUAAGCGACUAAGCGUACACGGUGGAUGCCCUGGCAGUCAGAGGCGAUGAAGGACGUGCUAAUCUGCGAAAAGCGUCGGUAAGGUGAUAUGAACCGUUAUAGCCGGCGAUGUCCGAAUGGGGAAACCCAGUGUGAUUCGUCACACUAUCGUUAACUGAAUACAUAGGUUAACGAGGCGAACCGGGGGAACUGAAACAUCUAAGUACCCCGAGGAAAAGAAAUCAACCGAGAUUCCCCCAGUAGCGGCGAGCGAACGGGGAGCAGCCCAGAGUCUGAAUCAGCUUGUGUGUUAGUGGAACGGUCUGGAAAGUCCGACGGUACAGGGUGAUAGUCCCGUACACCAAAAUGCACAGGCUGUGAACUCGAAGAGUAGGGCGGGACACGUGGUAUCCUGUCUGAAUAUGGGGGGACCAUCCUCCAAGGCUAAAUACUCCUGACUGACCGAUAGUGAACCAGUACCGUGAGGGAAAGGCGAAAAGAACCCCGGCGAGGGGAGUGAAAAAGAACCUGAAACCGUGUACGUACAAGCAGUGGGAGCACCUUCGGGUGUGACUGCGUACCUUUUGUAUAAUGGGUCAGCGACUUAUAUUCUGUAGCAAGGUUAACCGUAUAGGGGAGCCGCAGGGAAACCGAGUCUUAACUGGGCGUUAAGUUGCAGGGUAUAGACCCGAAACCCGGUGAUCUAGCCAUGGGCAGGUUGAAGGUUGGGUAACACUAACUGGAGGACCGAACCGACUAAUGUUGAAAAAUUAGCGGAUGACUUGUGGCUGGGGGUGAAAGGCCAAUCAAACCGGGAGAUAGCUGGUUCUCCCCGAAAGCUAUUUAGGUAGCGCCUCGUGAACUCAUCUUCGGGGGUAGAGCACUGUUUCGGCUAGGGGGUCAUCCCGACUUACCAACCCGAUGCAAACUACGAAUACCGAAGAAUGUUAUCACGGGAGACACACGGCGGGUGCUAACGUCCGUCGUGAAGAGGGAAACAACCCAGACCGCCAGCUAAGGUCCCAAAGUCAUGGUUAAGUGGGAAACGAUGUGGGAAGGCACAGACAGCCAGGAUGUUGGCUUAGAAGCAGCCAUCAUUUAAAGAAAGCGUAAUAGCUCACUGGUCGAGUCGGCCUGCGCGGAAGAUGUAACGGGGCUAAACCAUGCACCGAAGCUGCGGCAGCGACACUAUGUGUUGUUGGGUAGGGGAGCGUUCUGUAAGCCUGCGAAGGUGUGCUGUGAGGCAUGCUGGAGGUAUCAGAAGUGCGAAUGCUGACAUAAGUAACGAUAAAGCGGGUGAAAAGCCCGCUCGCCGGAAGACCAAGGGUUCCUGUCCAACGUUAAUCGGGGCAGGGUGAGUCGACCCCUAAGGCGAGGCCGAAAGGCGUAGUCGAUGGGAAACAGGUUAAUAUUCCUGUACUUGGUGUUACUGCGAAGGGGGGACGGAGAAGGCUAUGUUAGCCGGGCGACGGUUGUCCCGGUUUAAGCAUGUAGGCUGGUUGUCCAGGCAAAUCCGGAUAAUCAAGGCUGAGGUGUGAUGACGAGGCACUACGGUGCUGAAGUAACAAAUGCCCUGCUUCCAGGAAAAGCCUCUAAGCAUCAGGUAACAUCAAAUCGUACCCCAAACCGACACAGGUGGUCAGGUAGAGAAUACCAAGGCGCUUGAGAGAACUCGGGUGAAGGAACUAGGCAAAAUGGUGCCGUAACUUCGGGAGAAGGCACGCUGGUGUGUAGGUGAAGUCCCUGCGGAUGGAGCUGAGACCAGUCGAAGAUACCAGCUGGCUGCAACUGUUUAUUAAAAACACAGCACUGUGCAAACACGAAAGUGGACGUAUACGGUGUGACGCCUGCCCGGUGCCGGAAGGUUAAUUGAUGGGGUUAUCCGUAAGGAGAAGCUCUUGAUCGAAGCCCCGGUAAACGGCGGCCGUAACUAUAACGGUCCUAAGGUAGCGAAAUUCCUUGUCGGGUAAGUUCCGACCUGCACGAAUGGCGUAAUGAUGGCCAGGCUGUCUCCACCCGAGACUCAGUGAAAUUGAACUCGCUGUGAAGAUGCAGUGUACCCGCGGCAAGACGGAAAGACCCCGUGAACCUUUACUAUAGCUUGACACUGAACAUUGAGCCUUGAUGUGUAGGAUAGGUGGGAGGCUUUGAAGCGUGGACGCCAGUCUGCGUGGAGCCAACCUUGAAAUACCACCCUUUAAUGUUUGAUGUUCUAACGUUGGCCCCUGACCGGGGUUGCGGACAGUGUCUGGUGGGUAGUUUGACUGGGGCGGUCUCCUCCCAAAGCGUAACGGAGGAGCACGAAGGUUAGCUAAUCCUGGUCGGACAUCAGGAGGUUAGUGCAAUGGCAUAAGCUAGCUUGACUGCGAGCGUGACGGCGCGAGCAGGUGCGAAAGCAGGUCAUAGUGAUCCGGUGGUUCUGAAUGGAAGGGCCAUCGCUCAACGGAUAAAAGGUACUCCGGGGAUAACAGGCUGAUACCGCCCAAGAGUUCAUAUCGACGGCGGUGUUUGGCACCUCGAUGUCGGCUCAUCACAUCCUGGGGCUGAAGUAGGUCCCAAGGGUAUGGCUGUUCGCCAUUUAAAGUGGUACGCGAGCUGGGUUUAGAACGUCGUGAGACAGUUCGGUCCCUAUCUGCCGUGGGCGCUGGAGAAUUGAGGGGGGCUGCUCCUAGUACGAGAGGACCGGAGUGGACGCAUCACUGGUGUUCGGGUUGUCAUGCCAAUGGCACUGCCCGGUAGCUAAAUGCGGAAGAGAUAAGUGCUGAAAGCAUCUAAGCACGAAACUUGCCCCGAGAUGAGUUCUCCCUGAGACUUUAAGUCUCCUGAAGGAACGUUAAAGACGAUGACGUUGAUAGGCCGGGUGUGUAAGCGCAGCGAUGCGUUGAGCUAACCGGUACUAAUGAACCGUGAGGCUUAACCUUACAACGCCGAAG
This 2923-nucleotide ribosomal RNA is filed under the name Klebsiella pneumoniae. Its description in RNAcentral is "bacterial LSU rRNA". It matches the Rfam family "Bacterial large subunit ribosomal RNA". Lineage: Bacteria; Pseudomonadati; Pseudomonadota; Gammaproteobacteria; Enterobacterales; Enterobacteriaceae. The record is from RNAcentral.